UCAUCUACAGCUUUCAGUGAUCAUUUCUAUAGUUUGUUAUUAGAGAAGUUUCUCUGUGUGGAGUAUUGGAAACCAUCAGGAGGAGGUGUAGCACUCUCUCCUGAGAAUGUAGCUAGCUCUUGGUGUUGCUUUGCUGUAACUGCCACUGGCCAUAUAUGAUUUUUCCUGCUCUUCUUCCAGGGAAGUGGAGGGCAAAGACACAGUCUGAAUUAU
RNAcentral lists this small nucleolar RNA (213 nucleotides) under Jaculus jaculus (lesser Egyptian jerboa). Its description in RNAcentral is "Small nucleolar RNA U3 (ENSJJAG00000002697.1)". It matches the Rfam family "Small nucleolar RNA U3". From Rfam's summary of the family: Small nucleolar RNAs (snoRNAs) are involved in the processing and modification of rRNA in the nucleolus. There are two main classes of snoRNAs: the box C/D class, and the box H/ACA class. The record is from RNAcentral. Lineage: Eukaryota; Metazoa; Chordata; Mammalia; Rodentia; Dipodidae.